RNAcentral lists this ribosomal RNA (253 nucleotides) under uncultured bacterium. RNAcentral describes it as "partial 16S ribosomal RNA". It matches the Rfam family "Bacterial small subunit ribosomal RNA", at positions 524 to 776 of the family's 1533-position model. The record is from RNAcentral.
UACGAAGGGGGCGAGCGUUGUUCGGAGUUACUGGGCGUAAAGGGCUCGUAGGUGGCCAACUAAGUCAGACGUGAAAUCCCCAGGCUUAACCUGGGAACUGCGUCUGAUAUUGGAUGGCUUGAAUUCGGGAGAGGGAUGCAGAAUUCCAGGUGUAGCGGUGAAAUGCGUAGAUAUCUGGAGGAAUACCGGUGGCGAAGGCGGCAUCCUGGACCGAGAUUGACACUGAUGAGCGAAAGCCAGGGGAGCAAACGGG